RNAcentral lists this ribosomal RNA (1002 nucleotides) under uncultured Marinifilum sp. Its description in RNAcentral is "bacterial SSU rRNA". It matches the Rfam family "Bacterial small subunit ribosomal RNA", at positions 61 to 1060 of the family's 1533-position model. Lineage: Bacteria; Pseudomonadati; Bacteroidota; Bacteroidia; Marinilabiliales; Marinifilaceae. The record is from RNAcentral.
GUCGAGGGGCAGCAUUUCUAGCUUGCUAGAAGAUGGCGACCGGCGCACGGGCGAUUAACGCGUAUGCAACCUACCUUUCACAGGGGGAUAGCCCAAAGAAAUUUGGAUUAACACCGCAUAAUAUGAUUGAUUCGCAUGGAUUAAUUAUUAAAUCUUCGGAGGUGAAAGAUGGGCAUGCGUAGCAUUAGUUAGUUGGUGAGGUAAUGGCUCACCAAGACGAUGAUGCUUAGGGGGUCUGAGAGGAUAGUCCCCCACACUGGUACUGAGACACGGACCAGACUCCUACGGGAGGCAGCAGUGAGGAAUAUUGGUCAAUGGACGCAAGUCUGAACCAGCCAUGUCGCGUGCAGGAUGACGGCCCUAUGGGUUGUAAACUGCUUUUUUACAGGAAUAAACGUUGCUACGUGUAGUGAUUUGAAUGUACUGUAUGAAUAAGGAUCGGCUAACUCCGUGCCAGCAGCCGCGGUAAUACGGAGGAUUCGAGCGUUAUCCGGAUUUAUUGGGUUUAAAGGGUCCGUAGGCGGUUCUUUAAGUCAGUGGUGAAAUCCCAGAGCUCAACUCUGGAACUGCCAUUGAAACUGAAGAACUUGAAUAUGGUUGAGGUAGGCGGAAUACGUUAUGUAGCGGUGAAAUGCAUAGAUAUAACGUAGAACACCAAUUGCGAAGGCAGCUUACUAAACCAUUAUUGACGCUGAUGGACGAAAGCGUGGGGAGCGAACAGGAUUAGAUAGCCUGGUAGUCCACGCUGUAAACGAUGAUUACUCGUUGUGCACAAUACAUCGUGCGUGACUGAGCGAAAGCAUUAAGUAAUCCACCUGGGGAGUACGUUCGCAAGAAUGAAACUCAAAGGAAUUGACGGGGGCCCGCACAAGCGGAGGAACAUGUGGUUUAAUUCGAUGAUACGCGAGGAACCUUACCUGGACUUAAAUGUAGAUUGACCGGUCUGGAAACGGAUCUUCUCUUCGGAGCAAUUUACAAGGUGCUGCAUGGUUGUCGUCAGCU